RNAcentral lists this ribosomal RNA (1470 nucleotides) under metagenome. RNAcentral describes it as "bacterial SSU rRNA". It matches the Rfam family "Bacterial small subunit ribosomal RNA". The record is from RNAcentral.
AGAGUUUGAUCCUGGCUCAGGACGAACGCUGGCGGCACGCUUAACACAUGCAAGUCGAACGAGAGAAGAGGAGCUUGCUUUUCUGAUCUAGUGGCGGACGGGUGAGUAACACGUGAGCAAUCUGCCUUUCAGAGGGGGAUACCGAUUGGAAACGAUCGUUAAUACCGCAUAACAUAAUUGAACCGCAUGAUUUGAUUAUCAAAGAUUUAUCGCUGAAAGAUGAGCUCGCGUCUGAUUAGCUAGUUAGUAAGGUAACGGCUUACCAAGGCGACGAUCAGUAGCCGGACUGAGAGGUUGAUCGGCCACAUUGGGACUGAGACACGGCCCAGACUCCUACGGGAGGCAGCAGUGGGGAAUAUUGCACAAUGGAGGAAACUCUGAUGCAGCGAUGCCGCGUGAGGGAAGAAGGUUUUAGGAUUGUAAACCUCUGUCUUCAGGGACGAAAAAAGACGGUACCUGAGGAGGAAGCUCCGGCUAACUACGUGCCAGCAGCCGCGGUAAUACGUAGGGAGCGAGCGUUGUCCGGAAUUACUGGGUGUAAAGGGAGCGUAGGCGGGAUCGCAAGUCAGAUGUGAAAACUAUGGGCUUAACCCAUAAACUGCAUUUGAAACUGUGGUUCUUGAGUGAAGUAGAGGUAAGCGGAAUUCCUAGUGUAGCGGUGAAAUGCGUAGAUAUUAGGAGGAACAUCAGUGGCGAAGGCGGCUUACUGGGCUUUAACUGACGCUGAGGCUCGAAAGCGUGGGGAGCAAACAGGAUUAGAUACCCUGGUAGUCCACGCCGUAAACGAUGAUUACUAGGUGUGGGGGGACUGACCCCUUCCGUGCCGCAGCAAACGCAAUAGGUAAUCCACCUGGGGAGUACGACCGCAAGGUUGAAACUCAAAGGAAUUGACGGGGGCCCGCACAAGCAGUGGAGUAUGUGGAUUAAUUCGAAGCAACGCGAAGAACCUUACCAGGUCUUGACAUCGUAUGCAUAGCUCAGAGAUGAGUGAAAUCUCUUCGGAGACAUAUAGACAGGUGGUGCAUGGUUGUCGUCAGCUCGUGUCGUGAGAUGUUGGGUUAAGUCCCGCAACGAGCGCAACCCUUACUGUUAGUUGCUACGCAAGAGCACUCUAGCAGGACUGCCGUUGACAAAACGGAGGAAGGUGGGGAUGACGUCAAAUCAUCAUGCCCCUUAUGACCUGGGCCUCACACGUACUACAAUGGCUGUCAACAGAGGGAAGCAAAGCCGCGAGGUGGAGCGAACCCCUAAAAGCAGUCUUAGUUCGGAUUGUAGGCUGCAACCCGCCUACAUGAAGUCGGAAUUGCUAGUAAUCGCAGAUCAGCAUGCUACGGUGAAUACGUUCCCGGGCCUUGUACACACCGCCCGUCACGCCAUGGGAGUCGGUAACACCCGAAGCCUGUAGUCUAACCGCAAGGAGGACGCAGUCGAAGGUGGGAUUGAUGACUGGGGUGAAGUCGUAACAAGGUA